Molecule: unclassified non-coding RNA, 236 nt
Filed under: Hevea brasiliensis (rubber tree)
Lineage: Eukaryota; Viridiplantae; Streptophyta; Magnoliopsida; Malpighiales; Euphorbiaceae
Source: RNAcentral
AUACAGCAAUUAAGGUAGCCACCUAUACAUGGACAACAACGAAAAAUUUUAAAAAAACCAUUCACAGUAUAGCUUGAUGAAAAAUACACUUCAGAAUUAUAAUUCAAGUGGCAAAAAUGCCAAUCACAGAUCAAAGGUUUGGUUUCAAAAUUUUGCAGAACACUGUAGAGUGCAUCCCUUUUAUAGAAGCAUUGCUUGAAUAAAUUAACCUUACCAGUUGAGCCACCACAAAUGCA